Molecule: long non-coding RNA, 406 nt
Organism: Pyrgilauda ruficollis (rufous-necked snowfinch)
Lineage: Eukaryota; Metazoa; Chordata; Aves; Passeriformes; Passeridae
Exons: 3
Source: RefSeq, a predicted model, not a curated record
CUGAAGCAAUACUUCCUUUUCUUAUCCGUAUCCUUCUGAAGAACUCCAGCGCCAACAGUGAUGUUAACUGUGCCUGAGAGAAUCUUUGCUUUGGCAACAGGCAGGGCAAGCACUCCUAAUAUAGAUGGAUCGGUGAAAGCUGCACAAGAAGCACAGAAACCAGGGAGAACACGACUGAUGUAAUCAACAUUUAAGAGUACUACACUUCAUCAGUGACAUCACUGGAGUGCCAAGGAUGUGCCUUUUGCUGACUUUUCAUCCUUCUGUCAAAAGUCAUGCAAACAGGGGAAUUGGGCUCCAUGAUCCUUAUGUGUCUCUUCCAGCCUGAGAUGUCCAGUGAUUCUGUGAGUGAGUGAGUCUAUGACAUUGCUGGCAGUGGUAAAUCCAGGUACAGCUGAGCCUGUUU